RNAcentral lists this ribosomal RNA (253 nucleotides) under uncultured bacterium. RNAcentral's name for it is "partial 16S ribosomal RNA". It matches the Rfam family "Bacterial small subunit ribosomal RNA", at positions 524 to 776 of the family's 1533-position model. The record is from RNAcentral.
UACAGAGGGUGCGAGCGUUGUUCGGAAUUACUGGGCGUAAAGCGCGCGUAGGCGGACCUGCAAGUCGGGUGUGAAAUCUCGGAGCUUAACUCCGAAACUGCAUUCGAUACUGCCGUGCUUGAGGACUGGAGAGGAGACUGGAAUUUACGGUGUAGCGGUGAAAUGCGUAGAUAUCGUAAGGAAGACCAGUGGCGAAGGCGGGUCUCUGGACAGUUCCUGACGCUGAGGCACGAAGGUCAGGGGAGCAAACGGG